GUCCACGCCCUAAACGUUGCGAACUAGGUGUUGGCGAGAUUGACCUCGUCAGUGCCGGAGCUAACGCAUUAAGUUCGCCGCCUGGGAAGUACGGCCGCAAGGUUAAAACUCAAAGGAAUAGGCGGGGGCCCGCACAAGCAGCGGAGCGUGUUCUUUAAUUCGAUGCAACGCGAAGAACCUUACCUGGGCUUGACAUGUUUGUGAAACCAUGGUGAAAGCUGUGGCUUCCCGCAAGGGACGCAUGCACAGGUGGUGCAUGGCUGUCGU
This 267-nucleotide ribosomal RNA is filed under the name uncultured bacterium. RNAcentral's name for it is "partial 16S ribosomal RNA". It matches the Rfam family "Bacterial small subunit ribosomal RNA", at positions 793 to 1055 of the family's 1533-position model. The record is from RNAcentral.